This 250-nucleotide ribosomal RNA is filed under the name uncultured bacterium. Its description in RNAcentral is "partial 16S ribosomal RNA". It matches the Rfam family "Bacterial small subunit ribosomal RNA", at positions 524 to 773 of the family's 1533-position model. The record is from RNAcentral.
GACGUAGGGGACGAGCGUUGUCCGGAUUCAUUGGGCGUAAAGCGCGCGCAGGCGGCCGCGUAAGUCGGGUGUGAAACCCCGGGGCUCAACCCCGGGCCUGCAUCCGAUACUGCACGGCUAGAGGUAGGUAGGGGAGAUCGGAAUUCCUGGUGUAGCGGUGAAAUGCGCAGAUAUCAGGAGGAACACCGGUGGCGAAGGCGGAUCUCUGGGCCUUACCUGACGCUCAGGCGCGAAAGCUAGGGGAGCGAAC